AAAGUAUUGCAAGCGAACGCAAAGUUUCUCAGGGGAAUGCGUCGAAAUAUAUUUUCUAAAUAUAAAAUUUCAUUUAAUCACCAUGUCCCCUUAGGGGCUCCGUAUGUUUCCCAGUCAUUAAGUGAAAUUUCUACACAGAUGUGUCACUGAUGAUGAUGAUGAUGAUGAUGAUAUACAGCACGAGCGCAUGCGCACAAGACAAUGCAGUAAGAAAUGGAGUCUGUUGGAGACGACGUUCUCAGCGCAUGCGCCGAUCGGCACGCCUCUGUUUAACCAUGGUUUAAAAUGACUUCCGGGUAAUAAUGUACAGCAAACACAGAGCUAAUCUCUGUAAUACAGCGCAUUGUUGAUGUUCCUGGACGGAUCACUGAUGGGGCGGUCUGGGUGGACUAUCGCGUCUGUUCUAAACCCGGAGAAGUUCUAGUAUUCGGCAGGUAAAUCCUCCUGUAGUGCUGUAGACCGUCAGUGGUUGAUCCUGAUCACACAGUGGGCUCGGAAAGGGGAAACGGUUUUAAUCUGUGGCCAGGAAUAAUAAAACCACUACUGUUUUACGGCUAUAUAAACUGCUGCGAGCGACCUUAGACCCGUCUCCGCCCUCUGGACUCCGGAGUGGAGGAUUAUGAGGUGUUUUUCUCGAGUCUGCUGAAGGAUUUGUGAAACAUUUCUGAACAUAAGCUGAAAACACAUUGUCCUAUAAGAAUCUGUGCAAACUGCGAAAUAUGAUUUUGCGCAAUUCGAUAAGGUCAGGAAUGACUCAGCCUUACACGGUUUAACAUCCCAACUCAUUUAAGUACAGAACACCUGACCUCUACUUUAACUAUCAAGGUCAUUCUCUACUGCAGCUGGAGUCAGAAAAGUGAAACCCGGAUAGUUAUGUCUGUGGAUUAUUACUACCAGACCCUUCUCUCCAUGACACUCUCUUAUCCUGGAAGUUUGCGAGUGACAAUAAGCUGUUCCUCCAACACCGUACUGCGUAAAACGGUUUAGGGAACAAAAAUGUUCGAACAAGCAGUUUGGACAAUCAUUAAAAUCGAACUGUGGGCAAAUCAGACAAUCUAUAACUAAAACUAUACUGGAUUAUCAAACCGCUACUUUAUUCAUUCACUUGCCCUUGGACUGGGCUAAGACCCAUACGUCUGUAAUCUCUCCCGUGGGACUUCACGCUCUAAGGCAACAGAUAGGCCGUGUAGCAGAAAGGCACUGCAGAUGCCUGUUAUUUCAAAGCUCUGUCUUAGUGAUCUGUUGUGACGAGUGAGAAGCCCCAAGGUGAGUCGAGAAAGGAUUCUCCACACUUUCAAACACACCAUCUCUACAUUAUGAGUAAGUUUUAUGUUUGUUCUACAUUUCUUUUUUUAUGGUGCUUGCAUGUACAUUACCCUAUAAUAGUUUUUUCCAUGAAACAGAAUAUGAGACAGAAUAAUUUCUGUUUUCUGCAUACACACCAGGCCUCUGUGUGUGUGUGUGUGUGUGUGUGUGUGUGUCUCUCUUAGUUGACCUUCUGCCUGCAUGCAGACGUACUCCACCUACGCUCUGAGGCCUGCCGCACUAAUCAAAUACAUGUAUUGUUAUCCCCCAGCGCCUUGUUUAUCUGUGUGUUGUAUCUUAGGUGCACAUCCGUUCUUACAGUCCACCAGCCCAGUGAAUUCUGAAUAAAAUGACAUAUUACUCAUA
Molecule: long non-coding RNA, 1671 nt
Organism: Ictalurus punctatus (channel catfish)
Lineage: Eukaryota; Metazoa; Chordata; Actinopteri; Siluriformes; Ictaluridae
Exons: 2
Source: RefSeq, a predicted model, not a curated record